GCAGAAUUCCGCGAAUCAUCGAGUCUUUGAACGCAAGUUGCGCCCGAGGCUUGUCUGAGGGCAUUUCCGCUAGAGCGUCACCGC
Molecule: ribosomal RNA, 84 nt
Filed under: Eurhynchiella zeyheri
Lineage: Eukaryota; Viridiplantae; Streptophyta; Bryopsida; Hypnales; Brachytheciaceae
Description: partial 5.8S ribosomal RNA
Rfam family: 5.8S ribosomal RNA
About the family: 5.8S ribosomal RNA (5.8S rRNA) is a component of the large subunit of the eukaryotic ribosome.
Source: RNAcentral